Molecule: ribosomal RNA, 717 nt
Filed under: uncultured fungus
Lineage: Eukaryota; Fungi
Description: SSU rRNA
Rfam family: Eukaryotic small subunit ribosomal RNA
Source: RNAcentral
CGUGUGGUUCUAUUUUGUUGGUUAUGGGACCGCCGUAAUGAUUAAUAGGGACAGUCGGGGGCAUCAGUAUUCAAUUGUCAGAGGUGAAAUUCUUGGAUUUAUUGAAGACUAACUACUGCGAAAGCAUUUGCCAAGGAUGUUUUCAUUAAUCAGGAACGAAAGUUAGGGGAUCGAAGACGAUCAGAUACCGUCGUAGUCUUAACCAUAAACUAUGCCGACUAGGGAUCGGGCGAUGUUACUUUUUGACUCGCUCGGCACCUUACGAGAAAUCAAAGUUUGUGGGUUCCUGGGGGAGUAUGGUGGCAACGCUGAAACUUAAAGAAAUUGACGGAAGGGCACCACCAGGGGUGGAGCCUGCGGCUUAAUUUGACUCAACACGGGGAAACUCACCAGGUCCAGACACAAUGAGGAUUGACAGAUUGAGAGCUCUUUCUUGAUUUUGUGGGUGGUGGUGCAUGGCCGUUCUUAGUUGGUGGAGUGAUUUGUCUGCUUAAUUGCGAUAACGAACGAGACCUUAACCUGCUAAAUAGCCCGUGUUGCUUCUGCAGCACGCCGGCUUCUUAGAGGGACUAUCGGCUCAAGCCGAUGGAAGUUUGAGGCAAUAACAGGUCUGUGAUGCCCUUAGAUGUUCUGGGCCGCACGCGCGCGACACUGACAGGGCCAGCGAGUUCUCCCCUGUCCGAAAGGACCGGGUAAUCUUGUUAAACCCUGUCGUGC